ACUCCUACGGGAGGCAGCAGUUGGGGAAUAUUGCACAAUGGGGGGAACCCUGAUGCAGCCAUGCCGCGUGUGUGAAGAAGGCCUUCGGGUUGUAAAGCACUUUCAGUUGUGAGGAAAGGGAUGUAGUUAAUACCUGCAUUCUGUGACGUUAGCAACAGAAGAAGCACCGGCUAACUCCGUGCCAGCAGCCGCGGUAAUACGGAGGGGGUUAGCGUUGUUCGGAAUUACUGGGCGUAAAGCGCACGUAGGCGGACUAUUAAGUUAGAGGUGAAAUCCCAGGGCUCAACCCUGGAACUGCCUUUAAUACUGGUAGUCUUGAGUUCGAGAGAGGUGAGUGGAAUUCCGAGUGUAGAGGUGAAAUUCGUAGAUAUUCGGAGGAACACCAGUGGCGAAGGCGGCUCACUGGCUCGAUACUGACGCUGAGGUGCGAAAGUGUGGGGAGCAAACAGGAUUAGAUACCCUGGUAGGAUAG
Molecule: ribosomal RNA, 472 nt
Filed under: uncultured bacterium
Lineage: Bacteria
Description: bacterial SSU rRNA
Rfam family: Bacterial small subunit ribosomal RNA
Source: RNAcentral